Molecule: long non-coding RNA, 247 nt
Organism: Engraulis encrasicolus (European anchovy)
Lineage: Eukaryota; Metazoa; Chordata; Actinopteri; Clupeiformes; Engraulidae
Exons: 5
Source: RefSeq, a predicted model, not a curated record
AGGGUCGAACAGGACGGGAUGGACCCAUGGGUGUAUCUGGAUUUCCUGGCUUGAGGGGUCUCACAGGCGAUGAAGGACCAGAAGGAAAGCCUGGGAGCAUUGGGAUCUGUUGGGAGUCCAGGAGAAAGGGGUCUUGCUGGGCCCAGGGGCUCUGUUGGUGAACCCGGACAGAGAGGACCUGCUGGAAGCCCUGGUUCACCUGGGCAGCCCGGACACUGUGGCGCUCCAGGCCGAAUGGGUGACAGGG